Long non-coding RNA from Marmota monax (woodchuck), 11995 nucleotides. RefSeq lists it as uncharacterized. Lineage: Eukaryota; Metazoa; Chordata; Mammalia; Rodentia; Sciuridae. The transcript has 2 exons. The record is from RefSeq and is a predicted model, not a curated record.
AACCUGCUUUUGGAGGUACAGCGAGCUGGGGCAGGGGACCCAGGCUCAGAUGUUUUGGGCAUCAGGAGCAUUGGCUCUGAGAUGAUCUCCUUAACGGGAAGAAAUAAGAUCUCCUCCCCCCUUGUCACCCCUCCCCCCUUCCUCUUUGUUGUCACUUCCUUUUUUUUUUGGUCUUGUUCUCCAAAGGUUUAAGAAUUGAGUGGAGGAAGGAGCCAGAUGACAAGGAAGGCACAUCGUCAUGCAGCCAGAACAAGAGGUGGCGGUACAGAAGGAAGGCAUAAGGGGGAGGGAGUAUAGACCCGCUCCCUGCUUGCCAGCCCAGUGUCCGAGCACCUCUCCAAGCGCUUGGUGCCUCGUUGUGGAACGCCAUGAAGGCACUGGCAUGUUGUGACUCCUUCCUUAAGGAGACCAAGAACCAGAAUAUCUCAGAGCGGGGAGGAGCCUUAGGGACUGCUUCGUCCAAUUCCGUUUCAUGGAUGAGGAGGCUGGUGAUCAGCAGGUUAGGGUGAUAUGCCCCAAGUCAGUGGAAGGCUAGGAACCAAGUCUCUGAAGGAGCUUUUGAAGGACACCACAUCUAAACCAUAACACAAGGAGACUACAGCUGGUAUAGUAAUUGCAAUUGGAGUCACUACCUGAUUAAGCUUAUGAUAAUCAAUCAUCAUUCUCCAAAAUCCAUCGAUCUUCUGCACAGACCAAACAGGAGAGUUAAUGGGCAUGUGGUAAGAAAUAUCAACGCUGCAUCUUUCUAGUUCUAGAUUGUGCCACUAAUUUCUGUAAUUUCUCCAGGGACAUACUUUACUUAUAAUUUACUAUUUUUCAGAUAAAGGCAGCUCUAAUAACUCUCUUUUGGCCUUUUCCACCUUAAUAGCUCUCACUCCACAGGGUAGGAAACCAAUGUGGAAGUUCUUCCAAGUGCUGAGUAUAUGUAUACCAAAUAUACAUUCUGAGACUGGGGAAAGAGACAUAGGAUGGAUUCAGGAACAUACUGGACCCACUGUGAGUGGACCUUGGCUAAAAUUCCAUUGACCUGCUGAUUACCAUAAGACUCUACUUUGAUCUCCUAGAAUUAUUUCCUUUUUACCAAUGUACAGUUAAAGACCAUAGGCCAUUUUGGGAAAGGAUGGGAGAAAGAUCAACAUUAAAAUUUUUGGGUUCUUCCUCAAGGGGUUUUGGAUCCAUAAACUAGCUCAAGUCUGGGAUCAGUUUGAGGGUUUGUGAUUCUCUAUUCUUAUGAUUCAAGGUAAACUUUUGUAUAUUUACCUUGGAAUUUUUCUGCUUAUCUAAGUUGAGUAGGAAUUUAGUAGGUCUCCCAUCUUUAUAACUUUUGGGACCACCAUGAUUAAUCAGUCCCAUAAAUCUACAUGAGUCAGACCAUUCUGUUCAUUGCUUCUCCUCUGUCAUCCACUAUGGUGAGUCUCUCACUUUGCCUUUAGAAGUUGAAUGCCACCACUUGGCCCCUGACAUUCCUGGAUCCAGUUAUAACUGAUCACAUUUAAGUUUUUCAAUUGAGUGACUGUGGUUCCCACCGUAAGGUCUGGCAUACAGAGAAGAACAAUGAUAGAGCUCUUCCAGGUUGCUGGUGCUCCCCUCACAAAUCUGUUUAUUAAAGUGGUGGUGAAGGGCACACCUUCUAGACCCUUCCCAUGUGGACAUGAAGGUCUUACAUGGCAACCCUACUUCAGCAUUCCAAUCUCUCUAUUCUCAGUCAUAGUAGGCCAUCUUUUGAUUCACCUUUUGACAAUGAGCCAAAUAAACUAUAGGUACCUUUAACAUUGUGAGUUGCUACAUUAAACCCAGAAUGUCUGCUUCAUGGGUCCAGAUCAAUAAAUUCAAUCCUGGUCUACUUUUAUGUCCUUUCAUCAUUAUUUCACAUCCUUAAAAUCCUUUCCCAUACAUGUUCCCAUGAAUUCUGCUUGUAUAAAUUAGAAAACUCAAGAAGUUCCUUCAGAGAAUAGCACUUUGUGGGCAACACUAUGCACUUCACCUCUAGGGGACCUGCCAACACUUGAGUCUGGUUAUGAGUCUACAGGUAAAAGGUGGGUGGUGAGGUUGAGUCCUCAGGCGUAUCAGCAUUGUCUUGCAUUGUGUCAUGAAAGGUCAUUACUGUUUCCAUAGACAUUGUAAGAUUAGUUCUCUCAGGGAGAAGUGGAGAGGCCAACCCCACAAGGGGUAGUGGUGGGGAUGCUCCUGCCACUGAGAUGAGGAGGCCACUUCUUCUGGCAAAAAUAAAACCAUCAGAGUGCAGGGGUUCAGUGUCUCUAGCAUUAUUAAGGCCCUCCCACAUAUCUCUGUCUUAAUUUACAGAAUCCCAUUGUUUUUCAAUCAAUCAGUGCCCUCAGCCCUUGAGGCUGAGAGUGAACUUGUGUCAUAAUUCAGCCAAUUGUAGGAAAAGGACUUUUGUCUGGUUUUAGGCAACUUUAACCCUAAGAGAAGAAGAUUCUCCUUCAGGGUGUAUGUGUAUGUGAGUGUGUGUGUGUGUGUGUGUGCAUGUGUGUGUGUGUGUGUGUGUGUGAUUAUAAAAGAGGAUUUAUCAGACUGGUUUAUAGGAUCAAAAGCUGCAUAGCCCCACAAAGGCUGUUUACACACUGGAGAGCCAGAGGAAUCAGUAGCUCCUCAACCCAAGAACCUGAUGCCUCAGGAAUAGGGGGGGCCAAUAAUGUGGGCAAAGUCCCAAGACCAAAGACCUGGAAGCUCCCUGGAGAAUUGCUGGUGGGAUUACAUUAUGUCCACAGGCCUUGGGGGCAGUGACAGAUGCACUGGCUCCAGAAUAUAGCUUGCAUCCACUGAGGCUUCCUCAUGUCUUUCACUUUAUGUUCCAUCUGGGCCUGCAGCUUAUUGGAUAGUGCUCCUUACAUUCAGGGUGGGUUUCCCCUUUCAUUUGCUGUCUCAUGCCAAUCAUCUUUGAAAACAUCCUCACAGAUACAGCCAGAAGUCUCUUUUUAAAAAUUUGUUCUAAUUAGUAAAACAUGACAGUAGAAUGUAUUUCAAUUCAUUGUACAUAUAUGGAGCAUAACUUUUCAUUUCUCUGUACAUGAUGUACAGUCACACCAUUCAUGCAAUCAUACACGUGCCUAGGAUAAUGAUAUCCAUCUCAUUCCACCAUCUUCACUACUCCCAUGCGCCCUCCCCUCUUCUCACUCCCUUUUGCCCUAUCCAAAGUUUCUCCAUUCUUCCCAUGCCCUCAAACCCCCAUUAUGGAUCAGUAUCCACUUAUCAGAGAAAACAUUUGGUCUUUGAUUUUUGUGACUGGCUUACUUCGCUUAGCAUGAUAUUCUCCAACUCCAUCCAUUUACCUGUAAAUGCCAUAAUUUUAUUUUCUUUUAAUGCUGAGUAACAUUCCAUUGUGUAUGUAUACCACAGUUUCUUUCCAUUCAUCUGUUGAAGGGCAUCAAGGUUGGUUCCAUAGUUUAGCUAUUGUGAACUGAGCUGCUAUAAACAUUGUUGUGGCUGUGUCACUGUAGUAUGCUGAUUUUAAGUCUUUUGGGUAUAGACCAAGGAAUGGGAUAGCUGGGUCAAAUGGUGGAUCCAUUCCAAGUUUUAUAAGGAAUCUUCAUACUGGUUUCCAUACUGGCUGCACCAAUUUGCAGUCCCACCAGCAAUGUAUGAGUAUACCUUUUCCCUCCACAUCCUUGACAACACUUAACUAUUGCUUGUAUUCUUGAUAGUUGUCAUUCUGACUGGGGUGAGAUAAAAUCUUAGAGUUGUUUUGAUUUGCAUUUCUCUAAUUGCUAGCAAUGUUGAACAUUUUUUCAUAUGUUUGUUGUUGAUCAAUUGUAUUUCUGAAGUCUGUUAUGUUCCUUGGUCCAUUUAUUGAUUGGGUUAUUUGUUGUUUGGUGUUAAGUUUUUUGAGUUCUUUGUAUAUCCUGGAGAUUAGUGCUCUCUCUGGUGUGUGUAAGGAAAAGAUUUUUCUCCCACUCUUUAGGCUUUCUCUUCACACUAUUGAUUUUUUCCUUUGCUGAGAAGAAGUUUUUAGUUUAAAUUCAUUCCAUUUAUUGAUUCUUGAUUUUAUUUCUUGCACUUUAGGAAUCUUGUUAAGGGAGUCAGGACCUAAUCCAAUAUUAUGGGAGGUCAUCCUUGCACUUGAUUUGAGUUACCUCCCUGGCUGGGCGAGAGGCGCUUAGGCACAUCUUGUGUCCAGAGCUUUCCCCACCCUUCUCAGGUCCGAGGGCUUGUCCAUGUGGAUGCGUGUCUUGCCAAUACCCUGAAGACCCAAUCAUCGCCCAUGACCUUGGGACACUGCCCCCCUUAAUCUUCAUUGGAUGGGAUUUUCCCCAGAAUUUUUUGUUCCCCCAUAAAAGUCCACUCCCUGGCGUGUUCUCUCUCUCUCGCUAGCCUCUUCAGUAAACCUCGAUACCAUAAUAGGUGGCUGGAGGCUGGAGCUAGGAGAAGCCGUCCUGGAGCUGGUUUAAAGGUAAUUAGAAUCUUGUCUCUUUAAUUCAAAACUCCCUAGAGAUUUCUCAACGUUUUGAACCUUCAUUCAUGAAGCCGGUGCUGAUUGCGGGCUAAACAACAUGAUAAAGAAUUGGACCUACUUUUUCUUCUAUUAGGUGCAGGGUCUCUGACCUAAUUCCUUGGUUCCUGAUCCACUUUGAGUUGAGUUUUGUGCAUGGUGAGAGUUAGAGAUUUAAUUUUGUUUUGCUGCAUAUGAAUUUCCAGUUUCUCCAGCACCAUUUGUUGAAGAGGCUAUCUUUUUUUCCAAUGUAUGAUUUUGGCACCUUUCUCUAGUAUGAGUUAAGUGUAUUUAUGUGGGUUUGCAUCUGUGUUUUCUAUUCUAUACCAUUGGUCUACAAGUCUACUUUGGUGCCAAUACCAUGCCAUUUUUGUAACUAUAGUUCUGUAGUAUAAUUUAAAUUCUGGUAUUGUGAUACCUCUUGUUUCACUCUUCUGACUAAGGAUUGCUUUGGCUAUUGUGGGUCUUAUUCUCCAAAAUAAAUUUUAUGUUUUCUUUUUCUAUUUAUAUGAGAAAUAUUGUUGGGAUUUUAAUUGGAAUUGCAUUAAAUCUGUAAAACACUUUUGGAAGUAUGGCCAUUUUGACAAUAUUAAGUCUUCCUAUCCAAGAACAUGGGAGAUCUUUCCAUCUUCUAAGGUCUUCUAAUUUCUUUCUUAGUGUUCAGUAGUUUUCAUUGUAGAGGCCUUUCACCUCUUUUGCUAGAUUGAUGCCCAAAUGUUUUAUUUUCUUUGAGGCUACUGUGAAUGGGGGUUUUGCUAAUUUCUCUUCAUUUGAUUCAUCACUGAUGUAUAGGGGUGCAAUUAAUUUAUAGGUGUUAAUUUUAUAUCCUGCUACUUUGCUGAAUUUAUUUAUAAGUUUUAGAAAUAUUGAAGUAUUUUGGGUCUUCUAAAUAUAGAAUCAUGUCAUUAGCAAAUAGGGAUAGUUUGAGUUCUUCUUUUUCUAUUUGUAUUCAUUUAAUUUCUUUCUUUUCUGUCUAAUUGCUCUGGCUAGAGUUUCCAGAACCAUGUUGAAUAGAAGUGGUGAAAGAGGGCAUCCCUGUCUUGUUCCAGUUUUCAGAGGGAAUGCUUUCAGUUUUUCUCCAUUUAGAAUGAUUCUGGCCUUGGAUUUAGCUUUUACCAUGUUGAGAUAUGUUCCUCCUAUCCCGAGUUUUUCUAGUGUUCUGAACGUGAAGGGGUGCUGUAUUUUGUCAAAUGCUUUUUCUGCAUAUAUUGAGAUAUUAUAUCAUUCUUAUUUUUAAGUCUAUUGAUGUGAUGGAUUACAUUUACUGAUUUCUGUGUAUUGAACCAACCUUGCAUUCUUGGAAUGAACCCCACUUGAUCAUGGUGCAAUAUCUUUUUAAUAUGUUUCUGUAUGUGAUUUGCCAGUAUUUUAUUAUGAAUUUUUGCAUCUAUAUUCAUCAGGGAUAUUGGUCUGAAGUUUUCUUUCCUUGAUGUGUCUUUGCCUUGUUUUGGUGUCAGGAGGACACUAGCUUCCUAGAAUUUGUUUGGAAGGGUUCCCUCCUUUUCUAUUUCAUGGAAUCAUUUUAAGAGGGUUGGUGUUAGUUCUUCUGUGAAGGUCUGGUAGAACUCAGCUGAGAAUCCAUCUGGUCCUGGGCUUUUCUUUCUUGGUAAGCUUUUGAUGGUUUCUUCAAUUUCAUUGCUUGAAAUUGAUCUUUUUAAAAUUUCUAUGUCUUCCUGAUUCAAUUUGAGUCUGUCAUAUGUUUCUAGAAAUUUGUCUAUGUCUUCAAGAUUUUCUAUUUUAUUAGAGUAUAAAUUUUCAAAAUAGGUUCUGUUGGUCAUCUGUAUAUAGGUAGUGUCUAUUGUGAUAUUUCUUUUUCAUUGCGAAUUUCAGUAAUUUGCAUUUUCUCUCUUUCUCUUCAUAAGAGUGGCUAAGCAUGUUGCAACAUAUGACUAAAUUAGUCAGGGUCACUCUAGGUAAAUUGGGUUGGCACUGAAUAGAGAAAACACAGAGACAGAGAAAAUACCUUUUUCUUGGGGUUCACUGAUGGCUCCUUGGCCCCAGCUCACACAAGGGAAGCAAGAGAGGUGACAAAAGAGAGUGAGAGCAACCUGAAGCCCUAUUUAUUGAGGGGAAGACACUUAAGAAAAUUACACCCAAAUGUGGCAAGGGACUGGUGUUUCAGUCUCAUUGGGUGAUGCCCACUCCCAGAGCUUCAAUCUCCUGCCGAGUGAAGGUGAGGUCCACCUGCUCUCAUGCUGCAAGUGGAAGCCAGUCCCACACCUCCGUCCCUUAAGUCUAAGGGUCCAUGCAUGCUUACUCCUAUGUGGCAGCUCCUGACAUAAGCGUUUAUCAAUUUUAUUGAUUCUUUUCAAGGAACCAACUUUUUGUUUUGUUGAUUUUUUGGAUUGCUUCUUUUGUUUCAAUUUCAUUGACUUCAGCUUGAUUUUAAUUAUAUUCUGUCUUCUACUGCUUUUGGUGUUGAUUUGUUCUUCUUUUUCUAGGCCUUUGAGAUGUAGUCUUAGUUUAUUUAUUUGUUGACUUUCUAUUUUUUUAAUGAAUGAGCUCAAUGCAAUGAACUUUCCUCUUAGACUGUCUUCAUAGCAUCCCGCAGAUUUUGAUAUGUUGUAUUUCUAUUCUCAUUUACCUCUAAGUAUUUUUUUUUAAAUUUCAUCCCUGAUUUUUUCUGCUAUCCAUUUGCCAUUCAAUAGCAUAUAAUUUAGUCUUCAGGUGAUAGAGUGGCUUCUAUUUUUUAUUGUAUCAUUGAUUUCUAAUUUUAUUCCUUACAAUCUGAUAGGAUGCAAGAUAUUGUUUAUUUAUUUAUUUUUAUUUAUUUUCUAAGACUUGCUUUAUGGAUAAGAUAUGGUCUAUUUUAGAGAAGGCUCCAUGUGCUGCUGAGAAGAAAGUGUAUUCAGUAAUUUCAAAAUCUCUGUCUCUUUAUUGAAGUAAUUUUUUACUUCCUCUUUUUUCUCUUUGAUUUCACUUCCUAUACUACCCUUUACUUAACAGAUCAGUCUGAUUCUGUGCAUUCUACACUCCUUCUCUGAUAUUACUUCCACUGUAGUGUCAAUGGAUUCUGUUAUUGGAGUACCUUGGUUGUUUGGGGUGAUUUGCUCUCUUGCCUUGUAGGGCAUGAUGUAACAUGGGGCAUGUUGCAUCAGAAAAGAGGAAACUUAACUUGCUGGCUGCUACCCGCUUCCCAGUCCUGGGGCCACAUAUGGCUAAGAGAGCACCUAGCGAUUAGCCAGAGGCAUUGCCGUGGGUUAUGAUGAAGAAUCGGACCACCUCUAGGAUAGGCUCAGAACCCCUCUGCCCUCACAUACAUUACUGCCUGUAGGAUGGGUGUAGAUGUAAAUUCUCCCCAUCCUGCUGACCUUCAUCCUGAUUGACUCCUGUACAUUAUAUUAGCUGUGUAUGUUUUCUCAUUAAACGAGAUCCUGCUUUGACAGUUCUCCCUGGCACGUCUGAUUGUCCUCCAUGGAGGGAGGGCUGGGUGUGGGCGGCCAGUAGACCUUUACCUUUCUUGGCCUGUCCUGGUUGGGGCAUGCUCCCCCAAUCUCUCCCACAGGUCUGGAGGGAAGGGGGGAGGCUAAAAACCCCGACAUCUGGGGCCCCACGCGGGACACGAAGAACUCAGUUUAUCAAGAGUGAGAGUAUCAAGCGAGUUUUCCGAGGUAAGGGUAUCCCUGGAAAGAUGGGGCAAUCUCACACUAGGCAUAACGACCCAGCUCUUAUGCUCAAAAGCCGAGGUUUAGAGAUCUUGGAUGUGCAGGCCAAAAAGGUCUGGGAAACCUUGACACUUGUGGGGUCCUGGUAGAUGGCUGAGGGGGAGGAGGAGGGAGAGGUUUGCCAGAGGGAGCCAGGCCGGCCUGUGGGAGCCCCAGGUGUUUCUUCUCGUGGCCUGCUGCAGGCCCCACUGGCGCCUGGGCGUCUGCAUCCCCCGUUCUGUCCCACUCCACCCCUGGGCUUUGGGCCACCUGGGACCGCACAGAACAGUUGGUGAGGAAGAGGGAAGUUAACCUGGGAGAGGACCCCCCUCUGAGGGACUGCCUGUUUCUCUCCUGGCCCCUCAAGACCCUUUUAUCUGCCCUCAAAACACCUACUCCUCCUACCACCAAUCCUUGGCCUGGUCCCCUAAAUUCCACACUAACUUCCCCUGUCCCGGAACACUUGGUAGACAGGAUGGGGAAUGGCCUCCGCCAUAUUGUCAUCCCUCCCCCUCACAGAAAUUCUCCGCCCUCUUACAAAAAAAACCAAACAAACAAACAAAAAAAACACCUCAAAAAAAGACCAUCUCAGAGGAUGGGCCUAAUUCGCCCUGGGCUGAAACCAUCUUCCAGGGUCUGGAAAGAUCAAAGUCCACCUAAGAUGCCCUGCCCCCAGUGUAAAAAGGGAUUUCAUUUGGCAAAAGGAUUGUAAGUCCAAAUUUGAUAUUGGGGGGAAGCCUUUAAACUAGUAAUGGGGUGCCCUCCAGCCCCGUCACCCAAAGGAGGCGCCCCGCCUAGACACCGGCCUAGGGCCCACUGGCCCAGGCCAGGGCGAGCUGAGCCAGGCCUGGUGGGUGCUGUGUGGGCGGGGCCAAGCAGAGUCCCAGGCUGCCACUGCUUGAGCCAGAGCUCUGACCUGCCCGCCCGACCUGGAGGCACAGUCUCAUAGGCUCUUGCUCCCUGUGCGGCCCAGUGGCAGCUUGGUGGCAGCUCGAGUCCGGGACACUCCCCCAAGGCCAUCUGAGGUUGCCGGGGGAUGGCGAUAGGGAGAGAGAAUGGCCUUCCAGCGCCACCUGAGAAAAACAGUUUCCUUCAAAUUGGCAAAAUAAUAAAAUGAAAAAUUUGAACAUUUUAGCUUUGGGUGGAAGCAUAAAAAUUUGCCAGCAAGGAGCCAGUGGGGACUCAGAGGGCUACCAAGGAUCUUGCCACCUUCCUCGAGAGGGUGGAAAAGAGCCUCCAAAGGAAAUUCCCCCCAGGGGCCCCUUCAGGAUUGGCCCUGCUUUAUACAAAAAAAAGGGGGGGGACUACACGCCAUUCUCAUGCCUCCUGAGCUUUAUAAAUGCAGGGUUAGCAACAUCUCAAAUCCAUAGCAGCUGAUAUCCAGAACUCCAAUUUAGCUAUCCUUACAUCUGACAUCCUUACAUCUUACAUCCUUACAUCUGACAAUGGUUCUCCCACACCUGGAGGCUAAUGGAUAGAUAUGUUAAUGAGCACCAUUGAGGCCUAUUUCAAAUGUAAAAAUACCCUGAGGCUUACUUGUGGGAAUACCUUCAAACCCAUAUGUAAGUUACAGGAAGAAGGAUGGGAUAUCAGAAGCAGAGUCAAACCCAGGUGGUAGCCAGGAUGCUUUUUUCAAUAUCUAUUUUAAGUAGAUUUUGCCUUAUGCUCUUCCCAAAACCACACAUAUACUCCAAAGCUGGCACACCAAAAUGGUUUUUCUGCUAUUAUGCCCUCUCCCACAUCAUGGAGUUCUGUUUUAUUUUUUGAGCUCAUGAUUUUGAUCCUACAGACCUAGGUUAAUGUUUUUCUGAUCAGUUCUAUUUUUUGAUCAACUGUGGAGUUUUUAAACAUUGCAAUGGAGAUUUCACCUGUGAAAAGCUACAAGGCCUUUACUAUUGUGUUAUAUGUGCACACUUGUGUUAUGCGUUGAAUGUCUGUAUGUGUGUAUGUCCAUAUGUCAUACCCAUGAUAGAAAAUUGGCAGAUAUAUGAGGAGCACUCAUGAAAAAUUUUAAAAAAUGGAUGCAAAUAUCUUUUAUUCAUGUGAUUUAAACAGUUCAAUUUAAAUUGGGUAAACAGAUGAAAGUAAAGAUGUAUUUAAAAUUAAGCUUACAAGUUUUUCUAGGUGUUCAAAAAAAACUAAUAAAAUGUUGAGGUCUAUGAAAUAAUCUACCUAAAUUCAGAAAUUUACAAAGAUUGUUUCAAAAUGUGAACAAAAAAUGGAGGUUAACAGAUGGAAAGAAGAAAUUAGAAGAUUCUAGAUAUAAAACUCAUAUUUAAUAGAAGAAAAAAAAGUGUUCCUAAAUAAAGAAAAUCUUUAUGUGAUAAAUAAGAGUUUAAGUAAGUGAUAAAGAAGGUCUAUGUAAGUUUGUUCUUACAAUCAGUCAUAUGUUAAAAGGACAAAGAUUUCUUAAAACAUUAGUUUACCCAUAACAUUGUGUUUUAUUAAGUUUUGUUUCUUGUUUCUAGAGCAAGUAAUCUUUAAAAAAAAAUUAAACAGCUGGUUAAACAAGAACUGUUAUUUUAGAGAAUUGUGCUGUGUUAUUUCUUUAAAAGCUAAAUUUGGUUAAUAUAAAAACAUCAGUGUAAUUGUGGUGCUAUUAAUGUGUUCAUAUCUUCCAGGUAUACAAGUCUGUAAGGUAGAAGCUUUAAAAGAGCAUUAUAUCAAGCGGGUGUUCUAAAGUUGUACGGUAAUUUUAGGCUUAAGAGAAAAACAUAUUGGAGAUUUAUUUAUAUCAUUGAUGUUCUAUAACUGGACCUGUUAUCAAUAGGAUGUGUAAAGUUUUAUGUUACUUUUUACACUGAGGUAUGAUUUUUUAAUUGUAAAAAUGAAAAGACCAUUCUGGACACUUUGCCUGGUUGUGACCAGACUCCUCAUUGUCUCCCUCAUGGCAUUCAUCGUGGCCACGGGGAUGGGAACUGGACUUGCUGGCCUCUAUACUUCUUUACAGAUGUGCAAUAAGCUUUCUCAGCAGAUGAUAGAUGGUAUGCACCACGUGCCAACACUAUCUUAGACCUGCAAUCUCAACUCAUUCCUUGGCUACAGUAGUACUCCAAAACCAUCGUGGCCUGGACCUACUUACCGCUUGAGAAGGGGAACUAUGCCUGCUCCUACAGGAGGAGUGCUGCUUCUAUGCCAAUCGCUCUGGUAUCAUCCAAGACGAGAUCAAGAGACUACAAGAAGACCUUAAAACCUGUUGGAAUGAACUGCAAUCUAGCUUUCUAUGGACUGGGCUAAAAUGGUGGGUGGCUCCCUUAUCGAGCCAGAGCUGUUCAACUGAUGGUUGUCUGGCAGCAACAAGAUACUGACAAGAUAUCUUACAAGAUACUGACUGGGAACCCUAUGAGGUUGGUCAUGGCCCCUACCAGGACAUACAGGUGUAAGCCGGGAGCAGAAAGGUUUCCUUCAUAGGUGAUAGACAUUUCCCGUCCUUAAAGCUUCCCAUUGGGUCUGCCAACCCUGCCUGAAGAGCCAGAGUGGUAGUCAAUGACAGGUAAGAUCCCCAGAGGGGGACAACCUAAGACAGGCACACUCUCGAGUAAGGCAAACACCUGCUAAUAAAACAAAACGAGGGAGAUGUAGGGCAUGAUGUAACGUGGGGCAUGUUGCAUCAGAAAAGAGGAAACUUAACUUGCUGGCUGCUACCCGCUUCCCAGUCCUGGAGCCACAUGUGGCUAAGAGAGCACCUAGCGAUUAGCCAGAGGCAUUGCCGUGGGUUGCGAUGAAGAAUCAGACCACCUCUAGGAUAGGCUCAGAACUCCUCUGCCCUCACAUACAUUAUUGCCUGUAGGGUGGGUGUAGAUGUAAAUUCUCCCCAUCCUGCUGACCUUUAUCCUGAUUGACUCCUGUACAUUAUAUUAGCUGUGUAUGUUUUCUCAUUAAACGAGAUCCUGCUUUGACA